Molecule: ribosomal RNA, 118 nt
Filed under: Peromyscus maniculatus bairdii (prairie deer mouse)
Lineage: Eukaryota; Metazoa; Chordata; Mammalia; Rodentia; Cricetidae
Source: RNAcentral
GUCUAUGGCCGUACCACCCUGAACGCACCUGAUCUCAUCUCUUCCAGGAAGCUAAGCAAGAUCAGGCCCGGUUAGCACUUGGGUGGGAGACGGCCUGGGGAUACUGUGUGCUUAAAAA